RNAcentral lists this ribosomal RNA (376 nucleotides) under uncultured bacterium. Its description in RNAcentral is "bacterial SSU rRNA". It matches the Rfam family "Bacterial small subunit ribosomal RNA", at positions 521 to 896 of the family's 1533-position model. The record is from RNAcentral.
UAAUACAGAGGUCCCAAGCGUUGUUCGGAUUUACUGGGCGUAAAGGGUGCGUAGGUGGCGGGGUAAGUCUGGUGUGAAAGCUCCGAGCUCAACUCGGAAAAGCAUUGGAAACUAUCCCGCUUGAGGGUCGGAGGGGAGACUGGAAUUCUCGGUGUAGCAGUGAAAUGCGUAGAUAUCGAGAGGAACACCAGUGGCGAAGGCGAGUCUCUGGACGACUCCUGACACUGAGGCACGAAAGCUAGGGGAGCAAACAGGAUUAGAUACCCUGGUAGUCCUAGCUGUAAACGGUGCACAUUUGCUGUAAGAGGAAUCGACCCCUUUUGUGGCGAAGCUAACGCGUUAAAUGUGCCGCCUGGGGAGUACGGUCGCAAGAUUA